CUUAAAUUUGUUUAUGUACACAGCAAUCUAUUUUCAUUUAAAUAAAAUCAGGAAGCUAAAACAAAGUUAAAACUAUCAUGAUAACCAGAAGUGAGGUUUCAUCGCCAAAAGUUUUUAAAAAUUGUCGCUAAUAGAAGGGGCACCCAAAUCUACACUGCAGCCUAAUGGCCAUGGAAGAAAUAAAUAUGGAAUUCCUGAGAUGUGGAAGAUUCCGAACAAGCGGAUGGAUUCGAGAGGUAGAAAUUAUUGGUACAACUGCAUCUGUGUCAAAGGAGAUUGGUUGCCCGCCCAUUUAUUCUUCCAUUCACAUUACAUUGGGAAAUAUUGAAAGGGUAAAUUCAAAUUCAUGAGGAAUUGCUGAAAUAAAUAGAUCUUUUCAAAAGUAUGUGCAUGUUCUUGCGAUCUAAAUUGGAUCUGCCAUCAUUACAUGUUUUGGAAGGGAAACGUUUGACUUUUCUAUGCCAGAAGUUACAGCUUACGUUCGUAAGACGAACCAGUCUUUCUUGAGGGAAGGUGCGGUUAAAGGAUCUUCAAAAUCUUAGAAACAAUACCUAUUAUUGGAGGGUUCACACCAGAAAAGAAGUGAUACUCUAAGGUUGGCCAAUAUAGAGGACAAUCGUGCCAACUGGAUAAAGGACCAACAAGGAAAGGGAAUGACAAUUUCAACUGUAAAAAUUCGCUUGCAAGCAAAAGUUACGGCAAAACAAACAAACAUAAAUGAUAUCAAAAGGGGGCCUUGUGGUUGUAGCAAA
Stegodyphus dumicola is the source of this 752-nucleotide long non-coding RNA. RefSeq lists it as uncharacterized. The record is from RefSeq and is a predicted model, not a curated record. NCBI's taxonomy places the organism in Eukaryota, Metazoa, Arthropoda, Arachnida, Araneae, Eresidae.